GCCGGCAGCUAGCUCUCUGCAACUCGCAUGGUCGCCCACUGAAGCUAAGCAGGGCUGUGCCCGGUCAGCACCUGGAUGGGAGACCACAUGGGACCACAGGUUGCUGCAGGAA
RNAcentral lists this ribosomal RNA (112 nucleotides) under Danio rerio (zebrafish). Lineage: Eukaryota; Metazoa; Chordata; Actinopteri; Cypriniformes; Danionidae. The record is from RNAcentral.